Molecule: ribosomal RNA, 305 nt
Filed under: uncultured bacterium
Lineage: Bacteria
Description: bacterial SSU rRNA
Rfam family: Bacterial small subunit ribosomal RNA
Source: RNAcentral
UAUUCCUACGGGACGCAGCAGUAGGGAAUUUUCGUCAAUGGGCGCAAGCCUGAACGAGCGAUGCCGCGUGAGCGAAGAAGGCCGUCGGGUCGUAAAGUUCUGUUGCGGGGGAAAAAAGGCAGCAUCAGGAAAUGGGUGCUGACUGAUGGUGCCCCGCCAGAAAGUCACGGCUAACUACGUGCCAGCAGCCGCGGUAAUACGUAGGUGGCGAGCGUUAUCCGGAAUGAUUGGGCGUAAAGGGUGCGCAGGCGAUCCUGCAAGUCUGGAGUGAACCGCAUGAGCUCAACUCAUGCAUGGCUUUGGAA